UACGUAGGUGGCAAGCGUUAUCCGGAAUUACUGGGUGUAAAGGGCGUGUAGGCGGGACUGCAAGUCAGAUGUGAAAACCAUGGGCUCAACCUAUGGCCUGCAUUUGAAACUGUGGUUCUUGAGUGAUGGAGAGGCAGGCGGAAUUCCCUGUGUAGCGGUGAAAUGCGUAGAUAUAGGGAGGAACACCAGUGGCGAAGGCGGCCUGCUGGACAUUAACUGACGCUGAGGCGCGAAAGCGUGGGUAGCAAACAGGAUUAGAUACCCUGGUAGUCCACGCCGUAAACGAUGGAUACUAGGUGUGGGGGGUCUGACCCCCUCCGUGCCGCAGUUAACACAAUAAGUAUCCCACCUGGGGAGUACGAUCGCAAGGUUGAA
Molecule: ribosomal RNA, 375 nt
Filed under: uncultured bacterium
Lineage: Bacteria
Description: bacterial SSU rRNA
Rfam family: Bacterial small subunit ribosomal RNA
Source: RNAcentral